Molecule: long non-coding RNA, 2097 nt
Filed under: Panax ginseng (ginseng)
Lineage: Eukaryota; Viridiplantae; Streptophyta; Magnoliopsida; Apiales; Araliaceae
Description: long non-coding RNA (PGIN_LNC013654)
Source: RNAcentral
CGUAUGCAAUUAAAUAAAUAAAAAUGCACACAUUAAUGUACAUAUAUUAUUAUUAAGUCCAGAACAGCAUCAAAGUGUAGAAGUCACAUGAAAGAAGACAGAUAUAAAUACAAGUUUGGUAAUAAAAAUCACUCAAAACAACUUAACAAACACAGAUAAACCGUACUACUUAUUCAACUUCAGAACAGCACCAAGUUUUGCCAAGUACGUACAAGUAUAUAUAACAUGACGACAGUGCCAUCCAUAUAUAUAUAUAUAUAUAUACUUCCCAACUACUCUUUGAUCUGGUUUUUAGCACAGAGUACGUAUCUCUCGACAUGCAGCAUCACGUUCAAAUGCUGGGCUUCACGUUGAGGCGAGACGCUAUUUUCUGACCUAGAGACUUGUCAGCCUACAUGGACCACAACAUUACCAUCAUACUAGUAUUAGAUUAUUUUCAUUAAUACUACCUACUCUUCACCUAAUUGUUCCCGCUAAUAAAAUCUUUUACUAUUAUAAUUCAUUCCUAGUUGAAAAGGGUUGGAAUCAGAUUUACCUGACUCCAGUAUGACACCCAUAUGCUGCGGAUCUCAUAGGUAAUACGCGGAUCCGAUAAACCAGUAACCACCCGAUUGAUAAAUCGCUCUUGCCUGGAACAAAUAAUUAACAAAACCAAUAAAGCCUAAGUAGUUAUUUUAUUAUGAAAAGGGAGCUGAUAUUUCAUUCCACAGUUAUACAUUUUCUUUAAAAAAUCCACUUUCGCACUGGAGUUGUUAAAUGAUCGCUGGAAAUAUCAUUCCAACAUUUAUAAAUGAAAUGGUACUUGCAUGCGUACCUGUCUGGCGCAAAAGUCCGGUAUCUGUCUCCUGCCUGCUUGAAGUUGUUCUCUUUGUCAAUUACAGACUGCAUUAACAACCAACAAGCUAUUAUCAUGUAUAUAUCUAGGUCAUCUAGCUAGCUAGCGUAAACAAAUUAUUGCAUAUUGCCUUCAUUUGUUAAAGAGAUAUCUAUCUAUUCUAUUACCAUUCAAACAAAAUUCUGUAUUUGAUUGAUCAACUCCACCUUUUUGGAAAUUAAAUUCUAUGCCAUUAAAGGAAUGCCAACAUAUAUUAUGAAAAACUCACCCUAGUUCGCCUUCCCAUCAACACGCGUGGAGGAAGGGGGUGCUUCUCAGCAUGGACCACAGGAUCAAACCUAGAAGGGAAGUAAUUGACCUGGAAGAGUGCACUUGUGUGAUUAAUAUAUAUGGAGAACACAAAAGCAUGCCUAAAGAAAUUAAUUAUCAAAAGUGGGCUAUUUAGAAAGCAAGAGAUCAUUAAGAAGCUUAAAAACUCUACUCUUUUUCACCUCCUCAUCCCUGUGCAAAAAAUUCAUUGAGCCUUCAUGGUGAUUGUUGUGAUGAGCGCACUUGGGAGCAUUAGCUGGAAGCAGCAAAUAGUUUGGUCCCAGACGGUGCCUCUGAGUAUCACCAUAAGCGAAUACCCGACCCUGGAGAAACUUAUCAUCCGAAUACCAGACACCAGGAACAACAUGAGCAGGGUUGAAAGCAAGCAUUUCAUUUUCUGCAAAAAAGUUAUCAAUAUUCCUAUUCAACACCAAGCGGCCCACUGGCUGCAGGGGAAAGAUGUCCUCAGGCCAGGUCUUGGUUACAUCGAGUGGGUCAAAGUCAAAUUUGUCCUCGUGAUCGGGGUCCAUAAUCUGGAUAAAAAGCUUCCACUCAGGAUAAUUGCCAGCUGCAAUUGAGUCAUAGAGAUCUUGGGUGGCAUGGCUGUGAUUAGAUCCUCCAAUUUUGAUGGCUUCUUCCUCCAACAAGUUUUUGACUCCGCAGGUAGGUCUCCAGUGAAACUUGACAUAGGUUGCUUUCCCAGCCUUGUUAAGAAGAGUGAAGGUGUGAACCCCGGAGCCAUCCAUGUGCCUGUAAUCUUGUGGAACACCUAUGUCAUCAUAGAAGAAUGUGAAGGUGUGCAAACUCUCUGGGUGGUGGGAUAAGUAGUCAAAGAUUCUCCAGUUCUCUUGAAUGUGAGACUUGGGAUUGGGUUUAAAAGCACGAAUCACGUCUGGGAAUUUCAUUGCAUCCCGGACAAAGAAGAUUGGGAAAUUGUUUCCCACCAGAUCAAA